Molecule: non-coding RNA, 1692 nt
Rfam family: Eukaryotic large subunit ribosomal RNA
GGACCUGAUAUCAGGCAAGAUUACCCGCUGAACUUAAGCAUAUUAAUAAGCGGAGGAAAAGAAACUAACAAGGAUUCCCCUAGUAACGGCGAGUGAAGCGGGAAGAGCUCAAGCUUAAAAUCUCCGUGCAAGUUUUGUGCGGCGAAUUGUAGUCUAUAGAAGCGUGGUCAGCAUGGGCACUUGGGGCAAGUUCCUUGGAAGAGGACAGCAUGGAGGGUGAUACUCCCGUUCAUUUCUGAGUUGCUCGUGCGUACGACCCGUUUUCUUUGAGUCGCGUUGUUUGGGAAUGCAGCGCAAAGUAGGUGGUAAAUUCCAUCUAAAGCUAAAUAUUGGUGCGAGACCGAUAGCGAACAAGUACCGUGAGGGAAAGAUGAAAAGAACUUUGAAAAGAGAGUUAAAGAGUACCUGAAACUGCUGAAAGGGAACCGAAUCGUUUCCAGUGUCUAUAAUCCGUGGUAUAUUUCAUUGGCGAGUGUGUGCGUGCGUGUGCUGUGGCAGCGGCUUUUUUGGCUGCGCUCGGCGUGUGUGCUGUGUGUGCUUGCUGGUGCUCUGUGCUGCGGUGGGACGUCAAGGUCAGUUCGUAUGCUGCGGGAAAUGGCUGCCGAGGAGGUAGGGCUUACGCUUGCGUUUGUCUGUUAUAUCUUGGUGGACGAGUAGUCGCGGUUGGGACUGAGGUGCCUACAACGUGCUUUUGAGUGGGUUUGUGUCUCCGUGUGCGCCGUGUGCGGAUAGCUUGCUAUGCGUGUGUGGUUGUGUGUGGAUUGAUGCGAGCUUUAACUUGUUGCCGUUCGGGACGUUGACGAAAUGGAGCGAUUCGACCCGUCUUGAAACACGGACCAAGGAGUCUAACAUGUGUGCAAGUGUUAGGGUGUGGAAACCCCAGCGCGAAAUGAAAGUGAAGGGCAGCGUAAGUUGUCUGAGGUAGGAAAUGCUGCGGGCUUCGGUCUGCGGUGUGGCACUAUCGACCGAUCAUGAACCUUCGUGGUGAAAGAUUUGAGUUUGAGCACAUAUGUUGGUACCCGAAAGAUGGUGAACUAUGCCUGAGUAGGGUGAAGCCAGGGGAAACUCUGGUGGAAGCUCGUAGCGAUUCUGACGUGCAAAUCGAUCGUCAAACUUGGGUAUAGGGGCGAAAGACUAAUCGAACCAUCUAGUAGCUGGUUCCCUCCGAAAUUUCCCUCAGGAUAGCAGCAACUUAUUUACGAUAGUUUUAUGAGGUAAAGCGAAUGAUUAGAGGAUUCGGGGAAGAAACUUCCUCGACCUAUUCUCAAACUUUAAAUCUGUAAGACCUGCAGGUUUCUUAAUUGAACUUGUGGAUGUGAAUAUCAAGUUGCUAGUGGGCCAUACGGGGUAAGCUCGUCUGGCGAUGCGGGAUGAACCGAACGCAAAGUUAAAGUGCCAAAAUGCUCGCUCACCUAGAUACCAUAAAAGGUGUUGGUUCAUUUAGACAGCAGGACGGUGGCCAUGGAAGUCGGAAUCCGCUAAGGAGUGUGUAACAACUCACCUGCCGAAUGAACUAGCCCUGAAAAUGGAUGGCGCUAAAGCGGGCUACUUAUACUUUGCCGUUAGCGCGAUAGCAUUAGUAAUGUACGCGUUAAUGAGUAGGAGGGCGUGAAGGUCGUGAAGAAGCUCGUGGCGUGAGCCUGAGUGAAACGGCCUUUAGUGCAGAUCUUGGUGGUAGUAGCAAAUAUUCAA